GGGAUGAGCUCCGGCACUGGAGAAAUGUCAGUGGGCUGAUGCGCCGAGCUUCCAGGAUGUCCUUCUGAGUGUAACAGACACACCUGGAUUGUGUGACACCCAUCGAAGCGAAGAUGAAAUUUUUCUAGAAGUGGGCAAAAGUAUUGCUGUGGCCUGCCCGGGACCACAUGCUGUUCUCAUCGUACUGCGAUGUGAUCGCCGAUUCACUCAGGAGGAGUAUAUCGAUGCUGUUCAGACGCUGAAGUCUUUGUUUGGAGAAAAACUCCCCACACAUCUGAUCAUAGUCUUUGU
Pomacea canaliculata is the source of this 291-nucleotide long non-coding RNA. RefSeq lists it as uncharacterized. The transcript has 3 exons. Lineage: Eukaryota; Metazoa; Mollusca; Gastropoda; Architaenioglossa; Ampullariidae. The record is from RefSeq and is a predicted model, not a curated record.